UCCUCGUUAGUAUAGUGGCCUGUAUCUCUGCUUGUCACGCAGAAGACCAGGGUUCGAUUCCUGAACGGGGAG
Gasterosteus aculeatus (three-spined stickleback) is the source of this 72-nucleotide non-coding RNA. The record is from Rfam. Lineage: Eukaryota; Metazoa; Chordata; Actinopteri; Perciformes; Gasterosteidae.